GCAAUAUUGGGAACAGCUUGUCACGAGAAUUAAAUAUUAUUGAAUCUGGUUGACCAGGGCCUGAUUCUGCACUGUGUGCCUUGUCUACUUCUGUGAGACUGUCUGUGGAAUAGGCACAUGAAACUCCAUGCAGAUAAAGCAAAGAAUAGGCUCUUCAUUCUGAACUGCUUAUAAAGUAAGAAGAUACCUUUUUUAUGCUGGUUUAUGCUGAUAUAAAUCAGGAAGUCAGUAGCAUUCCACUGAUAUAAAUUAGAGCAAAAUUAGACCUGAUACCUGAUUUGGGACAUGGAGAAACCUUCCCACAAAGGAGCCUUGGAAAGGGUCAUUGGAGUAACCUCAACCUGCCUCUCUGCAGCUGGUGGGAAGGAUUAUGACCAGUCCCAGCUCCCCAGUGAGCCUCAUUCUACCAGAGCCUUGUACCUCAAGUGGCAGUGCUUACUUCAGCAAAGUAAGCAGGUUCUCAUUUAACCCUGACUCUUGGCACGAGGCUUCAAAAGAACCUUCCCAGCCUGCCAUCCCCAAUUCAUGAAACUUCUAGUAUGCAGUAGCUGUCAACCUUGACAUAUUUCUUGCAGAGAAGAAUCAGGGGAACAUACUUGAU
Non-coding RNA from Struthio camelus australis, 601 nucleotides. Lineage: Eukaryota; Metazoa; Chordata; Aves; Struthioniformes; Struthionidae. The record is from RefSeq and is a predicted model, not a curated record.